Molecule: ribosomal RNA, 488 nt
Filed under: uncultured bacterium
Lineage: Bacteria
Description: partial 16S ribosomal RNA
Rfam family: Bacterial small subunit ribosomal RNA
Source: RNAcentral
UGACCGCUGGCGGCAGGCCUACCACAUGCACGUCGAACGGUAACAGGGAUCAGCUUGCUGAUUCGCUGACGAGUGGCGGACGGGUGAGUAAUGUCUGGGAAACUGCCUGAUGGAGGGGGAUAACUACUGGAAACGGUAGCUAAUACCGCAUAACGUCGCAAGACCAAAGAGGGGGACCUUCGGGCCUCUUGCCAUCGGAUGUGCCCAGAUGGGAUUAGCUAGUAGGUGGGGUAACGGCUCACCUAGGCGACGAUCCCUAGCUGGUCUGAGAGGAUGACCAGCCACACUGGAACUGAGACACGGUCCAGACUCCUACGGGAGGCAGCAGUGGGGAAUAUUGCACAAUGGGCGCAAGCCUGAUGCAGCCAUGCCGCGUGUAUGAAGAAGGCCUUCGGGUUGUAAAGUACUUUCAGCGGGGAGGAAGGGAGUAAAGUUAAUACCUUUGCUCAUUGACGUUACCCGCAGAAGAAGCACCGGCUAACUCCGUG